AUAAUGAUACUUCUGCAUAGUCAACAGUCCGAGCGUGAUAAAACCGUCGCAGGCAAUGAGUGCAGUUGCAUGAGAACCAUGCAAGGGUGGAACUCCCGUGA
RNAcentral lists this non-coding RNA (101 nucleotides) under unclassified sequences. RNAcentral's name for it is "pemK RNA". It matches the Rfam family "pemK RNA". The record is from RNAcentral.